Molecule: long non-coding RNA, 794 nt
Organism: Bombus impatiens (common eastern bumble bee)
Lineage: Eukaryota; Metazoa; Arthropoda; Insecta; Hymenoptera; Apidae
Exons: 2
Source: RefSeq, a predicted model, not a curated record
GAAAUUCUCAAUGAUUGCGAGAACGUCGAGCGCGCAAUUGUAAAUUUCCUCUUUCCGGCAAUUAGAGUAUAAAACUUGUAUUUGAAACCCUUUGUACUCGAUUCUUUAUAUGUUUCCAUUUUACGGAUUUGUUAUUUGAUUUUUUUAGAAGUAUAUAACUUCAACAUGCAAUUUUCUAUUUUCUACGUCUUUGGCUACCAAGAAUUAGAUCAGUAUUAUUGGUCAACAAAUAAACAUUUACUUUCAACAAAGAGAUACUGUGCAAAGAUACAAUUCUUUACGCGUAAAUUUGAAUUUUGUUUAUUCUUAUUCAUGCGCAAGAAAGUAAAAUUGAGGGAGCUGAUUACAGAUGUUUCGAGAACAAAGAUUGAACAGGAUCAUUAAUUUUUACGAACACAACGUUCUUUCGAUCAUAUUAACGUAUAAUGCACACAAAUCUACAAAUAACAACAACAAUCAAUCAACGAUUAUAACAAUCUUCAUAAGAUCAGCGACGAAAUUACCAUCCUAAAGUCCAAAGAAGUUAAAAAAAUUAGAAAGAUUAAAAUGUUGAAUUUCCUUAUUGAAACAAUCGUAUAUUCUAUACAAAAACAGCGAUACUGCUUGCUAUGUAUUGUGAUAAGCAUUCACGAACGAUCCAGAUCAUCGUCCAAACUGUCCACAUCGUAGACUUGAACAGAUUUAUCGUGAAUAUUCUACCACGUGCAGAUUCGUAAACAAAAUCUCGUUCGAUUUCUACUCAAAUUCAGUCUUUAAUUUUUGUCUUUUCUUUUUAAGUACAAAACUAGCAAAAA